Molecule: ribosomal RNA, 454 nt
Filed under: uncultured bacterium
Lineage: Bacteria
Description: partial 16S ribosomal RNA
Rfam family: Bacterial small subunit ribosomal RNA
Source: RNAcentral
GAUGAACGCUGACAGAAUGCUUAACACAUGCAAGUCUACUUGAACUUCGGUUUGGGUGGCGGACGGGUGAGUAACGCGUAAAGAACUUGCCUCACAGUUAGGGACAACAUUUGGAAACGAAUGCUAAUACCUGAUAUUAUGAUUUUAGGGCAUCCUAGGAUUAUGAAAGCUAUAUGUGCUGUGAGAGAGCUUUGCGUCCCAUUAGCUAGUUGGAGAGGUAUCGGCUCACCAAGGCGAUGAUGGGUAGCCGGCCUGAGAGGGUGAACGGCCACAAGGGGACUGAGACACGGCCCUUACUCCUACGGGAGGCAGCAGUGGGGAAUAUUGGACAAUGGACCAAAAGUCUGAUCCAGCAAUUCUGUGUGCACGAUGACGUUUUUCGGAAUGUAAAGUGCUUUCAGUUGGGAAGAAAAAAAUGACGGUACCAACAGAAGAAGUGACGGCUAAAUACGUG